This 76-nucleotide transfer RNA is filed under the name Propionibacteriaceae bacterium. Its description in RNAcentral is "tRNA-Glu". It matches the Rfam family "tRNA". Rfam says of the family: Transfer RNA (tRNA) molecules are approximately 80 nucleotides in length. Their secondary structure includes four short double-helical elements and three loops (D, anti-codon, and T loops). The record is from RNAcentral. Lineage: Bacteria; Bacillati; Actinomycetota; Actinomycetes; Propionibacteriales; Propionibacteriaceae.
GUCCCCAUCGUCUAGAGGUCUAGGACGCCGCCCUUUCACGGCGGCAACACGGGUUCGAACCCCGUUGGGGAUGCCA